UGCCACUGGCAAUCUCUGGGACUC
Molecule: non-coding RNA, 24 nt
Filed under: Rattus norvegicus (Norway rat)
Lineage: Eukaryota; Metazoa; Chordata; Mammalia; Rodentia; Muridae
Source: RNAcentral